UGGUGGAGCAUGUGGUUUAAUUCGAAGCAACGCGAAGAACCUUACCAGGUCUUGACAUCCUUUGACCACUCGAGAGAUCGAGCUUUCCCUUCGGGGACAAAGUGACAGGUGGUGCAUGGUUGUCGUCAGCUCGUGUCGUGAGAUGUUGGGUUAAGUCCCGCAACGAGCGCAACCCUUAUUACUAGUUGCCAGCAUUCAGUUGGGCACUCUAGUGAGACUGCCGGUGACAAACCGGAGGAAGGUGGGGAUGACGUCAAAUCAUCAUGCCCCUUAUGACCUGGGCUACACACGUGCUACAAUGGAUGGUACAACGAGUCGCGAAGUCGUGAGGCCAAGCUAAUCUCUUAAAGCCAUUCUCAGUUCGGAUUGUAGGCUGCAACUCGCCUACANGAAGCCNGAANCGC
This 404-nucleotide ribosomal RNA is filed under the name Carnobacterium sp. AZTITEMP72. RNAcentral describes it as "bacterial SSU rRNA". It matches the Rfam family "Bacterial small subunit ribosomal RNA", at positions 930 to 1335 of the family's 1533-position model. RNAcentral also lists the same sequence under 1 other name. The record is from RNAcentral. Lineage: Bacteria; Bacillati; Bacillota; Bacilli; Lactobacillales; Carnobacteriaceae.